RNAcentral lists this ribosomal RNA (509 nucleotides) under uncultured bacterium. Its description in RNAcentral is "bacterial SSU rRNA". It matches the Rfam family "Bacterial small subunit ribosomal RNA", at positions 28 to 529 of the family's 1533-position model. The record is from RNAcentral.
GAUGAACGCUAGCUACAGGCUUAACACAUGCAAGUCGAGGGGUAGCAGGGUAGCAAUACCGCUGACGACCGGCGCACGGGUGAGUAACACGUAUCCAACCUUCCCAUAACUCGGGGAUAGCCUUUCGAAAGAAAGAUUAAUACCCGAUAGUACUUUUUUGAGGCAUCUUGAGAAAGUUAAAGAUUUAUUGGUUAUGGAUGGGGAUGCGUUCCAUUAGAUUGUUGGUGAGGUAACGGCUCACCAAGUCUUUGAUGUUUAGGGGUCCUGAGAGGGUGGUCCCCCACACUGGUACUGAGACACGGACCAGACUCCUACGGGAGGCAGCAGUGAGGAAUAUUGGUCAAUGGGCGCAAGCCUGAACCAGCCAUCCCGCGUGCAGGAAGACGGCGCUAUGCGUUGUAAACUGCUUUUCCAGGGAGAGAAACUUGCGCACGUGUUGCGCAAUUGACGGUACCCUGGGAAUAAGCAUCGGCUAACUCCGUGCCAGCAGCCGCGGUAAACUACUCGUA